GGGUAGGUAGCUCAGUUGGUAGAGCAACGGACUGAAAAUCCGUGUGUCGCGGGUUCAACUCCCGCCCUGCCCA
Molecule: transfer RNA, 73 nt
Filed under: Phycisphaerae bacterium
Lineage: Bacteria; Pseudomonadati; Planctomycetota; Phycisphaerae
Also listed under: 2 other names
Description: tRNA-Phe
Rfam family: tRNA
About the family: Transfer RNA (tRNA) molecules are approximately 80 nucleotides in length.
Source: RNAcentral